AGAGUUUGAUCAUGGCUCAGAAUGAACGCUGGCGGCGUGCUUAAGACAUGCAAGUCGAGCGAGAAAGCUCCUUCGGGAGUGAGUACAGCGGCGGACGAGUGAGUAACACGUGAGAACCUACCUGUUAGUGAAGGAUACCCACGAGAAAUCGUGGUUAAUACUGCAUACGUCCCUUCGGGGAGAAAGGUGGCUUUAUGCUACCGCUAAUAGAUGGGCUUGCGGACUAUCAGCUUGUUGGUGGGGUAAAGGCCCACCAAGGCUAUGACGGUUAACCGGCCUGAGAGGGUGUACGGUCACGUUGGAACUGAGAUACGGUCCAGACUCCUACGGGAGGCAGCAGUCAGGAAUAUUGCACAAUGGGCGAAAGCCUGAUGCAGCGACGCCGCGUGGAGGAUGACGGCCUUCGGGUUGUAAACUCCUGUUAAGUGGGAUAAAAUCCUUGCUUCUAAUACAGGCAAGGGAUGAUAGUACCAUUAGAGAAAGCACCGGCUAACUUCGUGCCAGCAGCCGCGGUAAUACGAGGGGUGCAAGCGUUAUUCGGAUUUAUUGGGCGUAAAGGGUGCGUAGGUGGUGUGUUAAGUCUGUUGUUAAAUUUUCCGGCCUAACCGGAAGCAUGCAGUGGAAACUGGCGCACUUGAGGACGGAAGAGGGAAGUGGAAUUCCCGGAGUAGCGGUAAAAUGCGUGGAUCUCGAGAGGAACACCGAUGGCGAAGGCAGCUUCCUGGUCCAUAUCUGACACUGAGGCACGAAAGCGUGGGGAGCAAACAGGAUUAGAUACCCUAGUAGUCC
Molecule: ribosomal RNA, 789 nt
Filed under: uncultured bacterium
Lineage: Bacteria
Description: bacterial SSU rRNA
Rfam family: Bacterial small subunit ribosomal RNA
Source: RNAcentral